AACGAACGCUGGCGGCAGGCUUAACACAUGCAAGUCGAGCGCCCCGCAAGGGGAGCGGCAGACGGGUGAGUAACGCGUGGGAAUCUACCGAGCCCUACGGAAUAACGCAUGGAAACGUGUGCCAAUACCGUAUACGCCCUACGGGGGAAAGAUUUAUCGGGGUUUGAUGAGCCCGCGUUGGAUUAGCUAGUUGGUGGGGUAAAGGCCUACCAAGGCGACGAUCCAUAGCUGGUCUGAGAGGAUGAUCAGCCACAUUGGGACUGAGACACGGCCCAAACUCCUACGGGAGGCAGCAGUGGGGAAUAUUGGACAAUGGGCGCAAGCCUGAUCCAGCCAUGCCGCGUGAGUGAUGAAGGUCUUAGGAUU
This 366-nucleotide ribosomal RNA is filed under the name uncultured bacterium. Its description in RNAcentral is "bacterial SSU rRNA". It matches the Rfam family "Bacterial small subunit ribosomal RNA", at positions 29 to 424 of the family's 1533-position model. The record is from RNAcentral.